CCUGACGCAGCGACGCCGCGUGAACGAGGAAGGUCUUCGGAUCGUAAAGUUCUGUUGCAGGGGACGAACGGCACUAUAGCCAAUAAGUAUAGUGAAUGACGGUACCCUGUUAGAAAGCCACGGCUAACUACGUGCCAGCAGCCGCGGUAAUACGUAGGGUGCAAGCGUUGUCCGGAAUCAUUGGGCGUAAAGGGAGCGCAGGCGGAACAUUAAGCGGAUCUUAAAAGUGCGGGGCUCAACCCCGUGAUGGGGUCCGAACUGAGGUUCUUGAGUGCAGGAGAGGAAAGCGGAAUUCCCAGUGUAGCGGUGAAAUGCGUAGAUAUUGGGAAGAACACCAGUGGCGAAGGCGGCUUUCUGGACUGUAACUGACGCUGAGGCUCGAAAGCCAGGGUAGCGAACGGGAUUAGAUACCCCGGUAGUCCUGGCCGUAAACGAUGGAUACUAGGUGUAGGGGGUAUCGACCCCUCCUGUGCCGGAGCAAACGCAAUAAGUAUCCCGCCUGGGGAGUACGACCGCAAGGUUGAAACUCAAAGGAAUUGACGG
This 543-nucleotide ribosomal RNA is filed under the name uncultured bacterium. RNAcentral's name for it is "bacterial SSU rRNA". It matches the Rfam family "Bacterial small subunit ribosomal RNA", at positions 382 to 916 of the family's 1533-position model. The record is from RNAcentral.